Molecule: long non-coding RNA, 2262 nt
Filed under: Capsicum annuum
Lineage: Eukaryota; Viridiplantae; Streptophyta; Magnoliopsida; Solanales; Solanaceae
Description: long non-coding RNA (CANN_LNC015202)
Source: RNAcentral
UAUAAUAGAGAGGAACCCAAUCAUAUUUCAUUUUUUUCUCAAACACCUUACCACAAAUAUCCUGUACUUUUACUGAUUAUGGAAGGGUUGAGUAACAUUCAUCUCUAUGAGCAUUCUCGUCUAGGAUACAAUCUUUCUAGUACAAUAAUAUGCAUACAAUGUAUUUCCUAAAGAACUUACAAUCCUGCUCAAAGAUCCCUGACUCCAACAAUUCAAAGGUAAAUUAGGAAUCUCACUGGUAUUAUAGUCAACACUUCAGCAUUAAAAUCGAAGUCAGUUGUCCACGCUUUCAAAAUCAUUGGUCUAUUAUUUAUAGUAUGAGGUACUAAGCAUACUAGUACAUCUCUAUCCGCCAUCGAAUUAAACAACUUUACAAAGUACCCCUCAUUAUGGUAGUCACUUUAGGCUUUGCUGUAAAGUUCCACUGUCCUACAAUAACCCGCUCUAAAGCACCAAUGGAAGGUGAAUCACCAGCAACAUACAAUAUAUCUGCCUUUCUCCAUUUUUCAUUUUCCUUGUCAAGUUCAGCAGCUUGUAAUUGCACCAUCAGAGCACCAUCCUUAAUUACCAGAGCCACAAAUUUCAGAUCCAUGAGACCGCUUCUGCCCCUCAGAUGCUUGUUGUAAGUCCAACUUCCUCUUAGCUAUUAUCUUAGUCUCAAGUGUUAUGUGGGCCGGGUCGGGUCAACCCAAAACCGGCCCAUUAAAUUUAGCCGGGUUGUGGGGAGGGUUGGGUCCGGUUUGUGGUUAAGUGGGUCGGGUCCGGGUUCAACAGUAAAAUUUUAAAAAAUAACCUUAACCUGGCCCACUUAAUUCAAUCCGGUUAAAUCAACCUAAAUCCGAUCAAAUCCAGUUAAAAAUUCAAUCAAACCCAAUAAAAGAAAUUUUUUUUUUUUCAAUAUACACUAUAUAUAUCCACCUAUAUACAUUUUAAAUACGUUAAACAAUAUAUAUACACUAUAUAUAUAGUAUAUACUACAUUAAAAUUUAAAAAAUAUAUACACAUAUACACAUUUACACAUAUAUACAUAACAUUCAAUAUAUACGACUAUACGUACUACUUUAAAUAAAACAUAUACUACAAUAUAUAUAUACACUACAAUAUAUAUAAUUAUAUAUAUAGUUAUAUACUAAUUACUAAUUUAUAAAACAUAUACACAUGUAUAUGUUAAAUAUACACAUCUAUAGAAGAUAUAUACACAUAUAUACGCAGCAUUCAAUAUAUAUGUAUUACUUUAAAUAAAACAUAUACUAUAAUAUAUAUACAUUAAAAUAUAUAUAUAAUUAUAUACUAACUUAUAAAAUAUAUACACAUGUAUACGUUAAAUAUACACGUCUAUAAAAGAUAUAUACACAUAUAUACGCACCAUUCAAUAUAUAUGUACUACUUUAAAUAAAACAUAUACUACAAUAUAUAUACAAUGUAUAAAACAUAUACACAUGUAUAUAUUAAAUAUACGCAUCUAUAGAAGAUAUAUACAUAAAUAUACAAAACAUAUGCUACUUAAUAUAAUAAAUUAAUAAUACUUGAUAGUAAAUUAAUAAUAUAUUAAAAGUAAGUUUUAAAUUUAAACAAGAAAUUCAAUUUAAAUCAUUAAAUGAAAAAAAUUACAAAGUAAGGACUAAGGAGUGAAUGAAUGUUGAAUUUUAUUGAUUGUAAAAUGAUCCAAAAUUUAUAAUUUACAUGAAUGAAAAAUCUACAAAUUAUGCAUCAUUUUUUUCAAUUCAUUCAUUUUAUUAUUAACGGGAACUUGCACAGGAUAAUCAAAAUCAACGAGAAAAAAAUCAUGUAUUGGACUUGAUUCUGCUGAGUUCUCCCCUGAAGACAUAAUUUCUUCAAGUUUCUGCUCGUCGUUUGGCUCCGGUUCCAUUCCUUGAUUUCUUCUUUCCGCUCUAAUCCAAUCUCUGAGGCAAACUAGAACAUUCAUUUCAUUGCUUCCCAAUGAGUGUCGGUUGUCUUCAAGUUGCUUUUGUCCCUGACUAAAAACGCUCUUUGAUGCAACGGUUGACAUUGGAACAUUCAAGAUAUCUCUAGGUAAUCUUGAAAGCACAUGCUAUUGUGUUUCAUUACUCCUCCAUCAAUCCAAUGUGUUGAUCCAUCGUCUACGAUCCUCUGGCAGCGACCGAAGAUAAUAUUUAAGCUUUUCCCGAUAAGUUGAUGUAUAAGCUCUCUCAUCAACACUGUUCCAACAAGGUAAUUCAUAAAAGGAAUCAGGAAAAUCACUAUGUGCCGGCCUUUUAGAAGAUGAUGGCUCCUCGGGAG